GAAGGACUUUAUUAUUUUGUGGAUUGUACUGUUUAUAUAGCAAAUUCACAUUUGUAUAAUACAGUGAACAUAUUAGUAAAUACAAGGAACAUUCAGUAUUUCUCACUUCUGUACAUCUUGGCGCAUUAAGAAUCCGUCUUGUUUCACUAUGGACCACAUCAUCAGGGCUUGGUGACACAUCUCCAUCAAUUUAUUUUCAUAUAUUUUCAACAAUCCCUUCACUGUCAAACUCCCACCUCUUCCUCUGACCAAACAGUAUGCGGCCAAGUGCGAGGUUAAGUUGAAUAUAAGCCUUCAUUGGUAUUUUAUUGUACUUACUAGGUGUGCUGCUUCACAACUAUACAAAACUAUGCAGCUGUCCUCUAAUAAAAAUAAAAAUAAAGAAAUUAAGUGAAUACUGUUGGAAUACUGUUUGGGGGGAAACAAUUCUGUCCUCAGUUCAGUUUUCAUAUCAUAUUAGCACAUUCCUCGUCAGUGUCUGUAGGGGAAACCAACUUUGUUGUUACAGUCAUGGCUAUACACUGGGUGUACAAAACAUUAGACGCCUGACUCAACCUUGUCUGACAUAUGCUCUCCCCACACAAACUGACCCGUCUCCUGAGAACCACUGCAGUGAGAGAGAGUGAGAGUAAAAAUAUGUCAGGAAAUGUCAUAGACAGAGUUUAAUUGGAGUUGAAUAGCUUUUACAUCGUAGUGUUGCAUUCAAGGUAACAGUCCAAGACUGCUGCUGUAUCAAAAGAGGCAACUAUGGAUAAUAAUUUAGCCAAAUAAGUGAUAACAUGUGGGACUGAGCCGAGCUGUACCAAUCCACGCCACCCGUCAGUCAGUAUGGCUCAGUAUUGAACAGCCUGCUGUCAUUUCAUGCCCAACCCUCGUAGUGGAGAGCUAUCAUCCUAUAGGUUUUCAUUUCAUCCCUUACCUAACCUACUUGUACACAUUCAGUACAUACACUGAGAAUACAAAACAUAAAAAAUACCUGCUCUUUCCAUGACAUAGACUGACCAGGUGAAUCCAGGUGAAAGCUAUGAUCCCUUAUUGAUGUCACUUGUUAUAUCCACUUCAAUCGGUGUAGAUGAAGGGGAGGAGACAGGUUAAAGAAUGAUUUUUAAGCCUUGAGACAACUGAGACAUGGAUUGUGUAUGUGUGCCAUUCAGAGGGUGAACGGGCAAGACAACAGAUUUAAGUGUCUUUGAACGGGGUAUGGUAGUAGGUGCCAGGCGGACCAGUUUGAGUGUGUCAAGAACUGCAACGCUGCUGUUUUUUUUAUGUUCAACAGUUUCCCGUGUGUAUCAACAAUGGUCCACCACCCAAAGGACAUCCAGCCAACUUGACAACUGUGGGAAUCAUUGAGAGUCAACAUUGGCCAGCAUCCCUGUGGAACGCUUUCGACACCUUGUAGGAUCCAUACCCUCAUGAAUUGUGGCUGUUCUCAGGGCAAAAGGUGGUGUAACUCAAUAUUAGGAGGGUGUUCCUAAUGUUCUGUUCC
This is a long non-coding RNA of Oncorhynchus tshawytscha (Chinook salmon), 1486 nucleotides long. NCBI's taxonomy places the organism in Eukaryota, Metazoa, Chordata, Actinopteri, Salmoniformes, Salmonidae. The record is from Ensembl.